This 499-nucleotide ribosomal RNA is filed under the name uncultured bacterium. RNAcentral describes it as "partial 16S ribosomal RNA". It matches the Rfam family "Bacterial small subunit ribosomal RNA", at positions 28 to 507 of the family's 1533-position model. The record is from RNAcentral.
GACGAACGCUGGCGGCGUGCCUAAUACAUGCAAGUCGAGCGGACUGAAUGGGAGCUUGCUCUUGUUCGGUCAGCGGCGGACGGGUGAGUAACACGUGGGCAACCUGCCCGCAAGACCGGGAUAACUCCGGGAAACCGGAGCUAAUACCGGAUAACACCGAAGACCGCAUGGUCUUUGGUUGAAAGGCGGCGCAAGCUGCCACUUGCGGAUGGGCCCGCGGCGCAUUAGCUAGUUGGUGAGGUAACGGCUCACCAAGGCGACGAUGCGUAGCCGGCCUGAGAGGGUGACCGGCCACACUGGGUCUGAGACACGGCCCAGACUCCUACGGGAGGCAGCAGUAGGGAAUCUUCCGCAAUGGGCGAAAGCCUGACGGAGCGACGCCGCGUGAGCGAAGAAGGCCUUCGGGUCGUAAAGCUCUGUUGUGAGGGACGAAGGAGCGCCGUUUGAAGAAGGCGGCGCGGUGACGGUACCUCACGAGGAAGCCCCGGCUAACUACGUG